This 209-nucleotide long non-coding RNA is filed under the name Elaeis guineensis (African oil palm). Its description in RNAcentral is "long non-coding RNA (EGUI_LNC040322)". The record is from RNAcentral. Lineage: Eukaryota; Viridiplantae; Streptophyta; Magnoliopsida; Arecales; Arecaceae.
UUCGGAAUGAAGGAUGGCUUGCUGUUGAACCCCUCGUAAGGUAGCACCAUGGAAUUAUUGUUGUCGAGAGCAUUUUCUAUCUUCUUAUCCAAUUAUUGGUCGAGCACUUGGAAUCGCCUUUCGAUGUUGAGAUGUCGGACGGUGCAGGCCUCGGAGCGCAGAGGAGAGUGACGACCAGGGGUUGAAUCAUGCUCUGAUCGCGGACUUGA